UGUAUUUCAUUAUUUUAUGUCUCCCCACUCAUAACGAAGUGUAGUUCUAGGCAUCCUAGAACCUAACUGUCCGGACAACACUGGUCAUCGGAACAGUAGAUCGUACUACCGAACUUAGGGAUGUUACAGAUUAAGUCCUUAUCAAAGGGAUCAUGUAGAAAAGCAUAACAAUAUCCGGUAAUCGUGGCCUUUAACACCAUGACAAGAUCAAUUAGGCUAAUAAGACUGCUUUCAAGAACAAAAAAAUGAAAUAAAAAUGCUUGUCAGAGAUGCUUACUCUGUUGUGCCAAUCUCCAUAUUAAUGAGGGGUCCUGUUACAAAAAUAACAGAACAGAAAGACAGAAUGCUAGGAGCCUCGUUUGCCCACAAAUGUUAAAGCGUAGAAUUCAGCAAAUGCAUUGCUAGAAGUAAAAUCAUCUAGAAAACACUCAAGGGCAUCCGGUGGUACCAAACCAUUUUUUAAAUUUAAAAUCUUGGAUACGAAAUACCAAUUCAAAUAAUGGAAAGUUACCCAGCAAUAUCAAAGAGGGAGAGGGAGAUUUUUUCCAUUAGGUGUUUAGCUUUGGCUGUGGGAGUGAGCGUGAAGCCUCGUUUGGCAGCGAGAUUUUUACUGAAUUGAAUUGAAGGGGUGAGGGGGC
This 638-nucleotide unclassified non-coding RNA is filed under the name Hevea brasiliensis (rubber tree). Lineage: Eukaryota; Viridiplantae; Streptophyta; Magnoliopsida; Malpighiales; Euphorbiaceae. The record is from RNAcentral.